GUAGGAGGCAAGCGUUAUCCGGAUUCACUGGGCGUAAAGCGCGUGCAGGUGGUUCGGUAAGUUGGGCGUGAAAUCUCCCGGCUCAACUGGGAGAGGUCGUCCAAUACUACCGAACUUGAGAGCAGAAGAGGAAGAUGGAAUUCCCGGUGUAGUGGUGAAAUGCGUAGAUAUCGGGAGGAACACCAGUGGCGAAGGCGAUCUUCUGGUCUGUUUCUGACACUCAGACGCGACAGCUAGGGUAGUAAACGGGAUUAGAGACCCCGGUAAUCCUAGCCGUAAACGAUGUGAACUUGGCGUUGGUGGGUUAAACUCCAUCAGUGCCGCAGCAAACGCGAUAAGUUCACCGCCUGGGGACUACGGCCGCAAGGUUAAA
This 373-nucleotide ribosomal RNA is filed under the name uncultured bacterium. Its description in RNAcentral is "bacterial SSU rRNA". It matches the Rfam family "Bacterial small subunit ribosomal RNA", at positions 527 to 898 of the family's 1533-position model. The record is from RNAcentral.